Theobroma cacao (cacao) is the source of this 354-nucleotide non-coding RNA. The record is from RefSeq and is a predicted model, not a curated record. NCBI's taxonomy places the organism in Eukaryota, Viridiplantae, Streptophyta, Magnoliopsida, Malvales, Malvaceae.
CUUUCCCCCUCUAAUGCAGGUGCAAGGUAUGGUGAACGUUUUUGGGCGGACAUCAUUUCUCAUUGACCAGAACACACGUGCCUUCCACAUGUUCAUCAACUUUUUGAUGGCUCUGGUUUAUCGUAUGGAGAGCUAGCAAGAUUUGCAUAGGUCUAUAGUUCACUGAGCUGUUGUUUUGAGUGAAAAGCUUCAAGGAUUUCGUUUCUUUCGAUUAACUGUACUUGAAGGGUUGGAGUGUGUUUGUUUGCAAUGUAACUAUAAACGUUAAAAUUGAAGUUCACAUAAAAAUCUGUGCAAAUGUGAGUAUGCCAACUUUUUCAAGCUGUAGACAAACUAAAUGAAUUGCUAUUAUUA